UACGGAGGGUGCGAGCGUUGUCCGGAAUCACUGGGCGUAAAGCGCACGUAGGCGGCUUUGUAAGUUAGAGGUGAAAGCCCGGGGCUCAACCCCGGAAUUGCCUUUAAGACUGCAUCGCUUGAAUCCGGGAGAGGUGAGUGGAAUUCCGAGUGUAGAGGUGAAAUUCGUAGAUAUUCGCAAGAACACCAGUGGCGAAGGCGAGUCCCUGGACAACACCUGACACUGAGGCACGAAAGCUAGGGGAGCAAACAGG
Molecule: ribosomal RNA, 253 nt
Filed under: uncultured bacterium
Lineage: Bacteria
Description: partial 16S ribosomal RNA
Rfam family: Bacterial small subunit ribosomal RNA
Source: RNAcentral